ACUCCUACGGGAGGCAGCAGUGAGGAAUAUUGGUCAAUGGACGCAAGUCUGAACCAGCCAUGCCGCGUGCAGGAUGACGGUCCUAUGGAUUGUAAACUGCUUUUGUACGAGAAGAAACACUCCUAUGUAUAGGAGCUUGACGGUAUCGUAAGAAUAAGGAUCGGCUAACUCCGUGCCAGCAGCCGCGGUAAUACGGAGGAUCCAAGC
Molecule: ribosomal RNA, 207 nt
Filed under: uncultured bacterium
Lineage: Bacteria
Description: partial 16S ribosomal RNA
Rfam family: Bacterial small subunit ribosomal RNA
Source: RNAcentral